AUACGAAGGGGGCGAGCGUUAUUCGGAAUCACUGGGCGUAAAGCGUGCGUAGGCGGUCUCGUAAGUUAGGAGUGAAAGCCCAGGGCUCAACCUUGGAAUUGCUCUUAAUACUGCAAGGCUAGAAUCUCGGAGAGGAUAGCGGAAUUUCCAGUGUAGCAGUGAAAUGCGUAGAUAUUGGAAGGAACACCAGUGGCGUAAGCGGCUAUCUGGACGAGUAUUGACGCUGAGGCACGAAAGCGUGGGGAUC
RNAcentral lists this ribosomal RNA (247 nucleotides) under uncultured bacterium. RNAcentral describes it as "partial 16S ribosomal RNA". It matches the Rfam family "Bacterial small subunit ribosomal RNA", at positions 523 to 769 of the family's 1533-position model. The record is from RNAcentral.